CCCGCACAAGCGGUGGAGCAUGUGGUUUAAUUCGAUGAUACGCGAGGAACCUUACCCGGGCUUGAAAUGCAUCUGACCGGCCUUGAAAGAGGUUUUCCCCUUCGGGGCAGAUGUGUAGGUGCUGCAUGGUUGUCGUCAGCUCGUGCCGUGAGGUGUCGGCUUAAGUGCCAUAACGAGCGCAACCCUCAUCAUUAGUUACCAUCAGGUAAGGCUGGGGACUCUAAUGAGACUGCCAUCGUAAGAUGUGAGGAAGGUGGGGAUGACGUCAAAUCAGCACGGCCCUUACGUCCGGGGCGACACACGUGUUACAAUGGGUGGUACAAAGGGCAGCUACCUGGCGACAGGAUGCUAAUCUCCAAAACCACUCUCAGUUCGGAUCGGAGUCUGCAACUCGACUCCGUGAAGCUGGAUUCGCUAGUAAUCGCGCAUCAGCCACGGCGCGGUGAAUACGUUCCCGGGCCUU
This 463-nucleotide ribosomal RNA is filed under the name uncultured Proteiniphilum sp. Its description in RNAcentral is "bacterial SSU rRNA". It matches the Rfam family "Bacterial small subunit ribosomal RNA", at positions 920 to 1382 of the family's 1533-position model. Lineage: Bacteria; Pseudomonadati; Bacteroidota; Bacteroidia; Bacteroidales; Dysgonomonadaceae. The record is from RNAcentral.